UUGAACGCUGGCGGCAUGCCUUACACAUGCAAGUCGAACGGUAGAGGGGCAACCCUUGAGAGUGGCGAACGGGUGAGUAAUGCAUCGGAACGUGCCCAGUCGUGGGGGAUAACGCAGCGAAAGCUGUGCUAAUACCGCAUGUGAUCUGUGGAUGAAAGCAGGGGACCGCAAGGCCUUGUGCGAUUGGAGCGGCCGAUGUCAGAUUAGCUAGUUGGUAGGGUAAAAGCCUACCAAGGCGACGAUCUGUAG
This 249-nucleotide ribosomal RNA is filed under the name uncultured bacterium. Its description in RNAcentral is "partial 16S ribosomal RNA". It matches the Rfam family "Bacterial small subunit ribosomal RNA", at positions 30 to 286 of the family's 1533-position model. The record is from RNAcentral.